RNAcentral lists this small RNA (228 nucleotides) under Arabidopsis thaliana (thale cress). Its description in RNAcentral is "ATSL095510". The record is from RNAcentral. Lineage: Eukaryota; Viridiplantae; Streptophyta; Magnoliopsida; Brassicales; Brassicaceae.
CAGGUUUUGGGGUGUUCUACCAGUCCUAAGUGAACAUGCAGGAAACAGAAAAUCAAGCAGAAACAAUAAAACACUCGACCAACACAACUUGUUGCAGAGCACUGGGUGUGGUCAAUUGACUGGUCGAGUAAUAGACAGAAAAUGUAACAUGGAUACUCGACUGCACAGUCUGUUACCAGACAACAGGGUGGUCGAGUAUCAGGUCGAGUAACAUGCAAAAAUUACAAA